AGUGGGGCUACGGGAGUCCGGCUCCCGUAAGUGAAGUCGGAGCGAAGUCCGGCCCCCGUGGGAGUCCGGACGGAGUCUACCUGCAAUUAAAGUCAGGGGCGAAGUCCGGCUCCCUUAGGAGUCCGGAUGAAGCUUACCAGCGAUCGAGGUCGAGGAUGAAGCCUAGCUCCUGUGGGAGUCUGGGCAAAGCCUUCCAGCAGUUGUGGUUGGGGA
Molecule: long non-coding RNA, 213 nt
Filed under: Elaeis guineensis (African oil palm)
Lineage: Eukaryota; Viridiplantae; Streptophyta; Magnoliopsida; Arecales; Arecaceae
Description: long non-coding RNA (EGUI_LNC068217)
Source: RNAcentral